This 919-nucleotide unclassified non-coding RNA is filed under the name Hevea brasiliensis (rubber tree). Lineage: Eukaryota; Viridiplantae; Streptophyta; Magnoliopsida; Malpighiales; Euphorbiaceae. The record is from RNAcentral.
GCGAAAGGGAAUUGCUAUGGCUUCUGUGGUCGCUGGAGGUACCAAGAAUUUGUGAUUUUUGGGGUUUUAAUGCUUGAGAAACACAGGAAGGAAGUGGGCUUGAAGAGGGAGUGGAGAUAGAAGGGAAGAAGAAAGCUGAAUCAGCAACCUAAAUGGUCGUCUCCAGUACUAAUUCCCACAAGGAGAUAACUGUUAGGAGAAGGAUUGCCAGCAUAUUUAAUAAAAGAGAGGAGGAUUUUCCUUCACUGAGGGAAUACAAUGAUUACUUGGAGGAAGUGGAGGACAUGAUAUUUAACUUAGUUGCUGGAGUGGAUGUCCCUGCUAUUGAAGAAAAAAUUGCAAAGUACCAGAAAGAAAAUGCUGAACAAAUAAUGAUAAAUCAGGCACGGAAGGCUGAAGAAUUAGCUGCAGCUUUGGCAGCUAGCAAGGGACUUCCUGCACAGACUGAUACUGAUGGGAGCUCUCAAGGAGGCUUUGGCAUUGAACCCGGGCAAUAUGCACCAUCAGUUCCUGGAGGACAGCCACGACCAACAGGCAUGGCUCCACAACCAGUGCCACUUGGGGGUCCAGAUAUGCACGAUGAUGAGGAAACGAUGAGACUCCGGAUAGAGAGGGGGAGCAGGGCUGGUGGUUGGAGCAUAGAGCUUAGCAAGAAAAGGGCACUUGAGGAAGCUUUUGCAAGUAUCUGGAUUUAGUAUCUUUUCAUUGGUUGUCUUCUAUACAUUACACUGCAAUUGUCAUCCAUGUGAGCCCCCAAAAAGUUAGAAGUAAGGUAGGGACUAUCCAUUGUUUUUGUAACAUGCUGACACAGGAUUUGGGGCUUUUCUCAAUUUAUUUUAGUGUUCUAGAUUUUCCAUUAUGUAGUAUAAUUAGUAAUUAUACUUGCUUUCAGUUGGAAGUAUUUUAGGCAGAUAGCCUU